CAUCUCUAGUAGCGGCGAGCGAAGCGGGAAGAGCUCAAAUUUAUAAUCUGGCACCUUCGGUGUCCGAGUUGUAAUCUCUAGAAGUGUUUUCCGCGUUGGACCGCACACAAGUCUGUUGGAAUACAGCGGCAUAGUGGUGAAACCCCCGUAUAUGGUGCGGACGCCCAGCGCUUUGUGAUACACUUUCAAUGAGUCGAGUUGUUUGGGAAUGCAGCUCAAAUUGGGUGGUAAAUUCCAUCUAAAGCUAAAUAUUGGCGAGAGACCGAUAGCGAACAAGUACCGUGAGGGAAAGAUGAAAAGCACUUUGGAAAGAGAGUUAACAGUACGUGAAAUUGUUGGAAGGGAAACGCUUGAAGUCAGACUUGCUUGCCGGAGCUUGCUUCGGUUUGCAGGCCAGCAUCAGUUUUCCGGGGUGGAUAAUGACGGUUUGAAGGUAGCAGUCUCGGCUGUGUUAUAGCUUUCCGUUGGAUACAUCCUGGGGGACUGAGGAACGCAGCGUGCUUUUUGCGAAAGACUCGUCUUUUUCACGCUUAGGAUGCUGGUGGAAUGGCUUUAAACGACCCGUCUUGAAACACGGACCA
Molecule: ribosomal RNA, 581 nt
Filed under: Ustilentyloma graminis
Lineage: Eukaryota; Fungi; Basidiomycota; Microbotryomycetes; Microbotryales; Ustilentylomataceae
Description: eukaryotic LSU rRNA
Rfam family: Eukaryotic large subunit ribosomal RNA
Source: RNAcentral